This 1455-nucleotide ribosomal RNA is filed under the name Triticum aestivum (bread wheat). RNAcentral's name for it is "partial small subunit ribosomal RNA". The record is from RNAcentral. Lineage: Eukaryota; Viridiplantae; Streptophyta; Magnoliopsida; Poales; Poaceae.
AUGGCGUUGCCUGCUCGGCGGGCUGCUGCAGGCUGCGGCUUGCCCAUCCGGGUGGUGAGUCGGCGCCUGGUCAGGGCCUCCGACCCCUCCAUCCGGCCACACGUGCUCGCCGUCUCCCACCUCGAUCUCUACGCCAACACCGAACAGUGCGCCCUGACAUGCGUCUACCCCAAGCCCCCCACCGGCGCCGGCGACUUCGACGCCGUUGUCGCCGCCUUCGAGGCCCACAUGCCGGCAUACCUCAACUACUUCUUCCCUAUGGCUGGCCGCAUCGUGGUCGACCCCAGCUCUGGCAUCCCCGAGCUCCACUGCUACAAUCAAGGAGCGGAGCUCAUCGUGGCACAUGCCGGCGUGGAGCUGUCGGCCCUGGACUGGAGCCUAUCGGGGGAGUCCCUGAAGAGGAUCCACGUGCCGUACGCCCAGGACAUGGUCCUGUCGGUGCAGCUGCUGUCCUUCGCCUGCGGCGGCUUCGCCGUGGUCUGGGCCGCCAAUAACCUGGUCGGCGACGGGAACGUCGGCGUCAUGCUCGUGAGGAUGUGGACCGAGCUGGUCCGGACCGGGACUAUCUCCGGCGGAGGCCCCAACCAUGACCGCUCGGUGCUCAGGCAGUUCAGCCGCCCCCGCGACCCGCCGACGUACGGCGCCUCGGUUGCAGCCAUGUACACGCGGUGGGAGCACGAGCAGGAGGUGAACGCGCUGACAGCCGAGGAGAGCUUCAUCGAGCGCCUCUACUACGUCGACGAGCGCGACAUCGCCCGGCUGCGUGGGGAGGCGAGCGCCGAGGGCCGCCAGCGUGCGACGCGCGUGCAGGCCGUGUCCGCGUACCUGUGGAAGGUCCUCGCGGGGAUCGUGGCCACGUCGAAGCUGCUGGGCGAGGACGAGAAGCGCUGCCGCCUGCUGUGGUGGGUGGACGGGCGGCGGCGGUUCUCGUCGCCCGAGCUCCGGUCCUCGCUGCGCAACUACGCCGGCAACGUCACGUCCUACGUGGUGGCGGCUGCGGCCGCGGCCACGGUGUUGAGCAAGCCUCUGGCGGGCGUGGCGGCCAUGGUGCGUGAGGCCGUCACGCUCACGCCGGCGGACUACGACGAGCUGUACCAGCAGAUGGUGGAUUGGAUGGAGGUGCACAAGCCCACGAACUUCGUCGAGACGCCCGCCAUCGGGCUCGGCAGCCCCACGCUGGCCCAGACCAUGUGGUCCUCCUUCCCGAACGACACUGACUUCGGUUUCGGCGAGGCCGCCUUGGCCAUGCCGGUGCACCAGAACCUCGGCAGGCUGUGCAUGGGCCUGAUCUGCAUCACCCCCAAGCCAGCAGAUCCCGGGACGUGGAUCGUCAGCGCCUUCAUAUGGCCGCGUCUCGCGGCGGUGCUCGAGUCAGACGAGCAGCGCAUCUUCAAGCCUCUCACAGCAGAGUUCCUUGGUCUCACCCGUGGACAUGGGCUCAGACCUCGUCUUUGA